CUCCUGUAUUACAUUUGCCAUCUGAGUCGCAAGAUUCUCCAGUAGCACAGUCGCCACUGUAGCUACACGAUUUUCCAAUACAAGUUGUCGCACAUUUCUUAUCAGAACUACCACAGCAAGUUUCACCCGGCGCACAGUUGCCAUCAAAGGUACACGAUUUUUCAACACAAGUUGUGGCACAUUUCUUAUCAGAAUCACAACAAGAUUCACCCGGGGCACAGUCGUUAUUGAAGAUACAAGACUGACCAAUGCAACUGUACCGACACACAUUGUCUUCAGGAUACUUUCUGUCACAGCAAUACUGUAAGCCCGAACAGUCAGAGUUAGAAGAACACUCAUUCGCU
Molecule: non-coding RNA, 344 nt
Organism: Paramuricea clavata
Lineage: Eukaryota; Metazoa; Cnidaria; Anthozoa; Malacalcyonacea; Plexauridae
Source: the annotation of a GenBank genome assembly